Molecule: ribosomal RNA, 468 nt
Filed under: uncultured bacterium
Lineage: Bacteria
Description: bacterial SSU rRNA
Rfam family: Bacterial small subunit ribosomal RNA
Source: RNAcentral
CCCCUACGGGAGGCAGCAGUGGGGAAUAUUGCGCAAUGGGCGAAAGCCUGACGCAGCGACGCCGCGUGAGGGAAGAAGGCCUUCGGGUCGUAAACCUCUGUCUAGAGGGAAGAAACCAUAGGGGUCAAACAGGCCUCUGUGCUGACGGUACCUCUGAAGGAAGCACCGGCUAACUCCGUGCCAGCAGCCGCGGUAAUACGGAGGGUGCAAGCGUUAAUCGGAAUCACUGGGCGUAAAGCGCACGUAGGCGGUGCCGUAAGUCGGAUGUGAAAGCCCUCGGCCUAACCGAGGAACUGCAUUCGAUACUGCGGUGCUUGAGUGCCGGAGAGGGUGGCGGAAUUCCAGGUGUAGGAGUGAAAUCCGUAGAUAUCUGGAGGAACACCGGUGGCGAAGGCGGCCACCUGGUCGGCAACUGACGCUGAGGUGCGAAAGCGUGGGGAUCAAACAGGAUUAGAUACCCUGGUAGUC